GGAGAACAAGCAAAGGAACUUUCAAGAUAAGAGAUACACUAUUGGUCAAUAUAUCAUAUGUAAUUGAUAGGAGGUUAAAUUAUUCAAGAAGUUCAUAUAGUUUCAUUCAAUCUUCAAUUAGAUCCUAUAUAUUGUAAGGAUUUGCAAUCAAAUUCAUAU
Molecule: non-coding RNA, 159 nt
Organism: Arachis ipaensis
Lineage: Eukaryota; Viridiplantae; Streptophyta; Magnoliopsida; Fabales; Fabaceae
Source: RefSeq, a predicted model, not a curated record